Small nucleolar RNA from Gossypium raimondii (Peruvian cotton), 107 nucleotides. It matches the Rfam family "Plant small nucleolar RNA R71". Rfam says of the family: R71 is a member of the C/D box family of snoRNAs containing the C (UGAUGA) and D (CUGA) box motifs. Multiple nearly identical copies of this snoRNA have been identified in Arabidopsis, and it is thought to function as a 2'-O-ribose methylation guide for 18S ribosomal RNA. The record is from Rfam. Lineage: Eukaryota; Viridiplantae; Streptophyta; Magnoliopsida; Malvales; Malvaceae.
AUCCCAUGAUGAGGACACUUAUGAAGUAAUUCCUUGAAUAUUUCCCAAGCAUCAUACAAAGACUCAUUAUCCAAUUGUUGAAAAGUUGUUAUCUCAUUACACAAUUU